UGGCUAUAUAUAGGAAGUUCGAGGCC
RNAcentral lists this non-coding RNA (26 nucleotides) under Rattus norvegicus (Norway rat). Lineage: Eukaryota; Metazoa; Chordata; Mammalia; Rodentia; Muridae. The record is from RNAcentral.